Molecule: ribosomal RNA, 513 nt
Filed under: uncultured bacterium
Lineage: Bacteria
Description: partial 16S ribosomal RNA
Rfam family: Bacterial small subunit ribosomal RNA
Source: RNAcentral
GAUGAACGCUGGCGGCGUGCCUAAUACAUGCAAGUCGAACACGCAGCGAAAGGUGCUUGCACCUUUCAAGCGAGUGGCGAACGGGUGAGUAACACGUGGAUAACCUGCCUCAAGGCUGGGGAUAACAUUUGGAAACAGAUGCUAAUACCGAAUAAAACUUAGUAUCGCAUGAUACAAAGUUAAAAGGCGCUACGGCGUCACCGAGAGAUGGAUCCGCGGUGCAUUAGUUAGUUGGUGGGGUAAAGGCUUACCAAGACGAUGAUGCAUAGCCGAGUUGAGAGACUGAUCGGCCACAUUGGGACUGAGACACGGCCCAAACUCCUACGGGAGGCUGCAGUAGGGAAUCUUCCACAAUGGGCGCAAGCCUGAUGGAGCAACGCCGCGUGUGUGAUGAAGGCUUUCGGGUCGUAAAGCACUGUUGUAUGGGAAGAAAUGCUAAAAUAGGGAAUGAUUUUAGUUUGACGGUACCAUACCAGAAAGGGACGGCUAAAUACGUGCCAGCAGCCGCAGUAA